GACGAACGCUGGCGGCGUGCCUAAUACAUGCAAGUUGAGCGAUGAAGCUUGGUGCUUGCACCAAUUUGAAGAGCAGCGAACGGGUGAGUAACGCGUGGGGAAUCUGCCUUUGAGCGGGGGACAACAUUUGGAAACGAAUGCUAAUACCGCAUAACAACUUUAAACAUAAGUUUUAAGUUUGAAAGAUGCAAUUGCAUCACUCAAAGAUGAUCCCGCGUUGUAUUAGCUAGUUGGUGAGGUAAAGGCUCACCAAGGCGAUGAUACAUAGCCGACCUGAGAGGGUGAUCGGCCAAAUUGGGACUGAGACACGGCCCAAACUCCUACGGGAGGCAGCAGUAGGGAAACAUCGGCAAUGGACGAAAGUCUGACCGAGCAACGCCGCGUGAGUGAAGAAGGUCUUCGGAUCGUAAAACUCUGUUGGUAGAGAAGAACGUUGGUGAGAUUGGAAAGCUCAUCAAGUGACGGUAACUACCCAAAAAGGGACGGCUAACUACGUG
This 497-nucleotide ribosomal RNA is filed under the name uncultured bacterium. Its description in RNAcentral is "partial 16S ribosomal RNA". It matches the Rfam family "Bacterial small subunit ribosomal RNA", at positions 28 to 507 of the family's 1533-position model. The record is from RNAcentral.